This is a non-coding RNA of Pelobates cultripes (western spadefoot toad), 126 nucleotides long. The record is from the annotation of a GenBank genome assembly. NCBI's taxonomy places the organism in Eukaryota, Metazoa, Chordata, Amphibia, Anura, Pelobatidae.
UAUUCCUCAACCCAGUCCUCAUGGGCCACCAAUAGUCCAGGUUUUGUCAGUAUCUCAACUGGAAUAAAACAGGGAAAUACAUAAAUCCUGGACUGUUGGUGGUCCACGAGGACUGGGUUGGGGAAC